RNAcentral lists this ribosomal RNA (486 nucleotides) under uncultured bacterium. Its description in RNAcentral is "partial 16S ribosomal RNA". It matches the Rfam family "Bacterial small subunit ribosomal RNA", at positions 30 to 507 of the family's 1533-position model. The record is from RNAcentral.
AUUGAACGCUGGCGGCAUGCCUUACACAUGCAAGUCGAACGGCAGCACGGGUGCUUGCACCUGGUGGCGAGUGGCGAACGGGCGAGUAAUACAUCGGAACAUGUCCUGUAGUGGGGGAUAGCCCGGCGAAAGCCGGAUUAAUACCGCAUACGAUCUACGGAUGAAAGCGGGGGACCUUCGGGCCUCGCGCUAUAGGGUUGGCCGAUGGCUGAUUAGCUAGUUGGUGGGGUAAAGGCCUACCAAGGCGACGGUCAGUAGCUGGUCUGAGAGGACGACCAGCCACACUGGGACUGAGACACGGCCCAGACUCCUACGGGAGGCAGCAGUGGGGAAUUUUGGACAAUGGGCGAAAGCCUGAUCCAGCAAUGCCGCGUGUGUGAAGAAGGCCUUCGGGUUGUAAAGCACUUUUGUCCGGAAAGAAAUCCUUGGCCCUAAUACGGUCGGGGGAUGACGGUACCGGAAGAAUAAGCACCAGCUAACUACGUG